RNAcentral lists this non-coding RNA (30 nucleotides) under Rattus norvegicus (Norway rat). Lineage: Eukaryota; Metazoa; Chordata; Mammalia; Rodentia; Muridae. The record is from RNAcentral.
UGAAGUGUCAACACAGGCUGAGAGCGGAAC